RNAcentral lists this ribosomal RNA (237 nucleotides) under uncultured bacterium. Its description in RNAcentral is "partial 16S ribosomal RNA". It matches the Rfam family "Bacterial small subunit ribosomal RNA", at positions 15 to 244 of the family's 1533-position model. The record is from RNAcentral.
GAUCAUGGCUCAGGAUGAACGCUAGCGGCAGGCCUAACACAUGCAAGUCGAGGGGCAGCGGGAAUUGAGCUUGCUCAAUUUGCCGGCGACCGACGCACGGGUGCGUAACGCGUAUGUAACCUACCCUGAACUGGGGAAUAACACUGAGAAAUCGGUACUAAUACCCCAUAAUACACUGGAAGGCAUCUUCUGGUGUUGAAAGCUCCGGCGGUUCAAGAUGGACAUGCGUUGUAUUAG